CUGCUAAAAUAUGAAAACUAUGAGAGAAUAUUUGUUUGUGGGAAUUUUCUGUGUAUUCUUCUCCUUGUAGGAGGUCAUAUUUAUAAUACAACAAAACCUGAAUGGGCAAGUAAAUAAUAAAUUCCUAAAUCUAUUUGCAGUAGGAAAUCAGGAAUUAAAGUAAAUCAAUUACAAUUAUAAUAGGAAUUCUUGGUGUGUAAGGAAAGUAAGUCAA
RNAcentral lists this long non-coding RNA (214 nucleotides) under Prunus dulcis (almond). RNAcentral describes it as "sRNA ncRNA". Lineage: Eukaryota; Viridiplantae; Streptophyta; Magnoliopsida; Rosales; Rosaceae. The record is from RNAcentral.